UACGAAGGGGGCUAGCGUUGCUCGGAAUUACUGGGCGUAAAGCGCACGUAGGCGGCUCUUUAAGUCGGGGGUGAAAUCCUGGAGCUCAACUCCAGAACUGCCUUCGAUACUGAAGAGCUCGAGUCCGGGAGAGGUGAGUGGAACUGCGAGUGUAGAGGUGAAAUUCGUAGAUAUUCGCAAGAACACCAGCGGCGAAGGCGGCUCACUGGCCCGGUACUGACGCUGAGGUGCGAAAGCGUGGGGAGCAAACAGG
Molecule: ribosomal RNA, 253 nt
Filed under: uncultured bacterium
Lineage: Bacteria
Description: partial 16S ribosomal RNA
Rfam family: Bacterial small subunit ribosomal RNA
Source: RNAcentral